Molecule: long non-coding RNA, 741 nt
Organism: Olea europaea var. sylvestris
Lineage: Eukaryota; Viridiplantae; Streptophyta; Magnoliopsida; Lamiales; Oleaceae
Exons: 3
Source: RefSeq, a predicted model, not a curated record
CAACACUCCCUUAAAGAUGAUGAUGUUACUAGAGUACUUGGUCCUGAACGUCGAGGAUGGGUAAGAGGUCUUGGUUUUGGUGCGACUCCUUCAAAGUUGAGUGCUUUGAUGCACAAUCAUAACUUGCAAACUCAAGUCCAAGAAUUGAGAAAUGAAAUUAAAGAAUUAAAAUCUUUGUUUCAAAUUAAGAGUAAGAGUGUUGAACAAGAAGAUAAUCCUAGAGAUGGAAGCUUGAAUGUUUCAAAUAACCUUCAAAAUAGGAAAUGCAAAUUGUUAUCUUGGUUUGGGAAAGCCGAUGGUGUUGCAAAAGGGGAAAUCGCAUCAACAAAUCCAAGUGAUUUGGUGCAUCAUGUACCACUUGGUAAUGAAUGUUGGAGAGUUUGGGUUAAUGAAGUGAUUGAAAAUGUCAGCUUAUAUCGUCCUACACGUGAGCUUUUUCUUCUUGAAGAUGCAUUAGGAAGUACAAUAGCAUGGCCAAUUAGAUACAUUGAAGUGGAUUCGCUAUAAUCACAAUGAAGGUAUAGGCAGAUUACAAAUGAGCAUUGCUGAAGUCUCACCCAGAUCGAGCUUCGCACUCAUGUGAUUGGAAAGCAUUCUUUUGUUUGUAAAAUAACUUAUCAGUGUUGGUUGAACUUAUGUCUGUUGGUUGAGAAGAAAUUAGUUAUGACUCAGGCUUGUCAUUUGUUGAACUUAUGUCUAUUGGUUGAGAAAAUGAAAAGUAGCUGUUACAUUUUAUUUAUA